GUGCUGAGCCGAGGCAGGUUUGGCCGACGGGCUGCACUGGGAAUCUUCAAUGCUUUGGUUCAAGAUCUGGCAGCCGACAUCUCGAUGCUGAAAUCCACUGUCACACGAUGCCGAACACUGCAAGAUUUGCAAAGUGGUGUUCUGCAAAGCCUCAUCAACAUGAUGCAAGACCAAGAAGAUACAGAUCCAUUCAUAAGGAGCAAAGGAGAUGCCACUGAAUAAAUCCAGCAACUGCCGUUUGCAUUUCCAAUUUACAGUAGGGCAGAAUGCAAAUAGUUGUCAAUCGGAAGAGAGGACUGAAGUCUGAAUGGGUGGCGUUUCGGGUCGAGACCCGUCUUCAGGCUGAGAGUCAGGGGAGGGGGAAACUAGAGUUUACAAAAGAUCCAGAGUCCAAACAGGUUGCAGGAGGUGCCCCAAAUAUUGAACAGCUUGACACAAGGAUGAGCGGAGAAGUUCAGAGAGAUGUCACCAGCCACACAGAGGGUGUGUGAGGCUGGGCUUUUAAGUUCACCCUGGUCACUUCACCAUCCGGGAUGAAGAUUUCAGUCUUCAACUGAGCGAGAUCAUCCACUGAAAACUGGCAGUGAUUCGUGCUAUUGAGGGAGUACAGCGUAGGUUUACAAGGUUAAUUCCUGGGAUGUCGGGACUGUCAUAUGCUGAGAGAAUGGAGCGGCAGGGCUUGUAUACUCUGGAGUUUACAAGGAUGAGAGGUGAUCGUAUUGAAACAUAUAAGAUUAUUAAGGAUUUGGACACGCUAGAGGCAGUGGAAGGCGUCAGUGGAUAGUGUUAAGGCAGAGAUAGAUAGAUUCUUGAUUAGUACGGGUGUCAGAGGUUAUGGUGAGAAGGCAGGAGAAUGGGGGGUGGAUGUGGACAGAAUGUUUCCACUAGUGGGAGAGUCCAGAACCAGAGUGCACAGCCACAGAGUAAAAGGAUGAAUCUCUGGAAAGGAGAUGAGGAGAAAUUUCUUUGGGUGGUGAAUCUGUGGAAUUCAUUGUCACAGACAGCUGUGGAGGCCUAGUCAUUGGGUAUUUUUAAAGUGGAGAUUGAUAAGUUCUUGAUUAGUAAGGGAGUCAAAGGUUAUGGGGAGAAGGCAGAAGAAUGGGGUUGAGAGGGAAAGAUAGAUCAGCCAUGAUCGAAUGGCGGAGCAAACUUGAUGGGCCGAAAUGCCCAAUUCUGCUCCAAUGCCUUAAGAUCUUAAGAUAAUCUUCAUGCCAUUUUUCUUCUUACCACACAUACAAAACUCCCAGUGCAAAUUAUCAGACCAUCAACUGAUAUCUCCAUCUAAGAAACAUCAUGCAUUUGUGUAACAUUUUUCACUGGCUACUUUUAUAACCACAAAACGUCUCUGAGUAUUUUUACAGCCCCUUAAAAACUGGUGCCACCAUCAACAUACGGAAAGUACAUUUUUUGCAGAUAUAGAACAAUAAAGACUGGUGUAAACCAGCAUCUGCACUUCCUUCCUCCACAAUAAAGACCUAGUGGACUGUUUUAGAGAUACAGCAUGGAAGCAGACCCUUGGGGCACC
Leucoraja erinaceus (little skate) is the source of this 1525-nucleotide long non-coding RNA. RefSeq lists it as uncharacterized. The record is from RefSeq and is a predicted model, not a curated record. The transcript is spliced from 4 exons. NCBI's taxonomy places the organism in Eukaryota, Metazoa, Chordata, Chondrichthyes, Rajiformes, Rajidae.